GUGGGGAAUAUUGGACAAUGGGGGGAACCCUGAUCCAGCCAUGCCGCGUGUGUGAAGAAGGCCUUUUGGUUGUAAAGCACUUUAAGCGAGGAGGAGGCUACCGAGAUUAAUACUCUUGGAUAGUGGACGUUACUCGCAGAAUAAGCACCGGCUAACUCUGUGCCAGCAGCCGCGGUAAUACAGAGGGUGCAAGCGUUAAUCGGAUUUACUGGGCGUAAAGCGCGCGUAGGUGGCCAAUUAAGUCAAAUGUGAAAUCACCGAGCUUAACUUGGGAAUUGCAAUCGAUACUGGUUGGCUAGAGUAUGGGAGAGGAUGGUAGAAUUCCAGGUGUAGCGGUGAAAUGCGUAGAGAUCUGGAGGAAUACCGAUGGCGAAGGCAGCCAUCUGGCCUAAUACUGACACUGAGGUGCGAAAGCAUGGGGAGCAAACAGGAUUAGAAACCCUGGUAGUCC
Molecule: ribosomal RNA, 451 nt
Filed under: uncultured bacterium
Lineage: Bacteria
Description: partial 16S ribosomal RNA
Rfam family: Bacterial small subunit ribosomal RNA
Source: RNAcentral